Molecule: ribosomal RNA, 792 nt
Filed under: Bacillus sp. B9-PCA-PT2P21
Lineage: Bacteria; Bacillati; Bacillota; Bacilli; Caryophanales; Bacillaceae
Description: bacterial SSU rRNA
Rfam family: Bacterial small subunit ribosomal RNA
Source: RNAcentral
CUAAUAAUGCAGUCGAGCGAACAGAAGGGAGCUUGCUCCCGGAUGUUAGCGGCGGACGGGUGAGUAACACGUGGGUAACCUGCCUGUAAGACUGGGAUAACUCCGGGAAACCGGAGCUAAUACCGGAUAGUUCCUUGAACCGCAUGGUUCAAGGAUGAAAGACGGUUUCGGCUGUCACUUACAGAUGGACCCGCGGCGCAUUAGCUAGUUGGUGGGGUAAUGGCUCACCAAGGCGACGAUGCGUAGCCGACCUGAGAGGGUGAUCGGCCACACUGGGACUGAGACACGGCCCAGACUCCUACGGGAGGCAGCAGUAGGGAAUCUUCCGCAAUGGACGAAAGUCUGACGGAGCAACGCCGCGUGAGUGAUGAAGGUUUUCGGAUCGUAAAGCUCUGUUGUUAGGGAAGAACAAGUGCGAGAGUAACUGCUCGCACCUUGACGGUACCUAACCAGAAAGCCACGGCUAACUACGUGCCAGCAGCCGCGGUAAUACGUAGGUGGCAAGCGUUGUCCGGAAUUAUUGGGCGUAAAGGGCUCGCAGGCGGUUUCUUAAGUCUGAUGUGAAAGCCCCCGGCUCAACCGGGGAGGGUCAUUGGAAACUGGGAAACUUGAGUGCAGAAGAGGAGAGUGGAAUUCCACGUGUAGCGGUGAAAUGCGUAGAGAUGUGGAGGAACACCAGUGGCGAAGGCGACUCUCUGGUCUGUAACUGACGCUGAGGAGCGAAAGCGUGCGGAGCGAACAGGAUUAGAUACCCUGGUAGUCCACGCCGUAAACGAUGAGUGCUAAGUGUUA